This 1280-nucleotide long non-coding RNA is filed under the name Parus major (Great Tit). RNAcentral describes it as "lncRNA (ENSPMJG00000014659.1)". Lineage: Eukaryota; Metazoa; Chordata; Aves; Passeriformes; Paridae. The record is from RNAcentral.
AUGGUUAGGAUGUCAAGCACUCUUGUUUUGAAUGUUGUGUUGAUGACUGAUGUGCUCCCACACUACGUCCAACUUGCGUUUUUACAAGGGUUUGACUAUUCCUUUGCAAGCCUGGGAAAGAGGAAAAUUCACAUUUUACACAAAAUUAAAGUCCUGCCUGACAGCUCCCCAUCUGCUGGCCAUGUCCCAGUUGUAUUGCUACUCUGGUGCAGGCUUAGCUCCCCUCAAAGUUCCCAAAGAAAUUAUUUUGUGCAUCUUACCAUCGGGUUGACCCACCCCAUGCAAACAUCCCCAACAGGCAAAAGCUGUGGGGAUUUAGAGGCGAAACAUGAACACUGCACUCACAGUGGUGGCUUGGAGAAAAAUGCAGACGAAGGACCGAGCUUGCAGACUCUGCCUGUAAAUGCCACCGGCACACGCAGGGAGAGAGCUGAAAAAAGCCGGCCGCUGCAGACUUGCACAACUGGACGGCCCCUGGCAGCUGGAGAGGAAGCAGCACGUAAUGAGCCCCAGGUGGAGGCAGCAGCUCAAGCUCUGCGAUGGCAGCUCCCCACGCCCUAAAACAAGGGAGCCACCGGGAAGGCAGCCGGGGAACACCACUUCAGCCCAGGCUGCUAAGGAAGAAAAUACUUUUGAGGAGGCCUUUGGAGAAAGCUGGCAGCACAUCACUGGAAAUACCUUGGCUGAAUGCAAGCCAGCUGAAUUUAACAUGAAGAAUGAGUUACAGAAGCAACUGCCUAAGCAGUGUUUAAUACAAUAACCUGAACUAACCUUUUUGUUCAGGUUGGCAGAGGAAUGUUUGCUUCACACCUCACCAGGAGAAGGUUCAUGGCAACAGAACCAGGACUCUGAAAGCACGCUGAAACCAGCAACGCCCCUGACUCAAAGCUAAAAAACUCCAUUUUUGAAAAUGCCAAAUGGAUUUUAUUAUUAAUUACUUCUUUCUUUGCCUUACCCCUGUCACAACACAGAAAGCAGAAGUUAGAAAAAAGCUGAGCUAUCUACACAGGGAAGAUGUGCUUUCUGUCAUGAACAGAAGUUGAUCUGUUUGCAUCAGAGCAAGAUUUGCUGUUGUGGUUAGUGUAGUGGAGUAGCAGAGAUCAGAUGCCUUUCAAAACAGUACAAAAAACUAGUCAAAAUAUCUCUAACCUAGUUAAAUGGACUAUGCAUGAUACUGUGUAAGCACUCUCAAGUCAAACAGAGAAAUGAUAGAGGGAAGAGUUCAAACAAGGAAUGAGACUAGAAGUACAAAAGAAAAUAAAACAUUGGACACAAGGUCA